This 274-nucleotide ribosomal RNA is filed under the name uncultured bacterium. RNAcentral describes it as "partial 16S ribosomal RNA". It matches the Rfam family "Bacterial small subunit ribosomal RNA", at positions 523 to 796 of the family's 1533-position model. The record is from RNAcentral.
AUACGGAGGGUGCAAGCGUUGUUCGGAAUCACUGGGCGUAAAGGGCGCGCAGGCGGUUUGGUAAGUCAGAUGUGAAAGCCCACGGCUCAACCGUGGAAGUGCAUUUGAAACUGCCAGACUUGAGUACCAGAGGGGAAAGUGGAAUUCCCGGUGUAGAGGUGAAAUUCGUAGAUAUCAGGAGGAAUACCGGUGGCGAAGGCGACUUUCUGGCUGGAUACUGACGCUGAGGCGCGAAAGCGUGGGGAGCAAACAGGAUUAGAUACCCUAGUAGUCC